This is a long non-coding RNA of Papaver somniferum (opium poppy), 829 nucleotides long. RefSeq lists it as uncharacterized. Lineage: Eukaryota; Viridiplantae; Streptophyta; Magnoliopsida; Ranunculales; Papaveraceae. The record is from RefSeq and is a predicted model, not a curated record. The transcript is spliced from 4 exons.
UACUUGCUGAAUAUCUAGUUAUUUUUUGAUCUUGAAUUUUCUAUUUCUUAAAAUAGAUCUUAUAAACAUUUUAUUUUCAUUUGUGUAUUCUAAAUUUCUAAGGUGUGGAACUAGAACCGAGAAAUCCUUACAUAUACAGGUAAGUUUGUUGCGGUUCUAUGUAAAAUAGGAAACAAGAGUCCGUGUUCUCUAUGUUCAAUCAGUGAAGGAUCGCAUAAUUUGAACAUUGAGUUGGAGGAAAAGGAAGAUGUUGUCUUGGAGGUUUUCGGCGGGAGAAAAGUGCAUCUGACUAGUUUCUAUUUUGGGCUUAAUGGUCGAUGUGGAAAUGAUUUGAUGGAAAUAGGCACAGGACUUCCAAAAGAGAUUUUAUAGAUUCGGGAAGAGGUGUGUCAGAGGUUGUACCAAAAGAUAAUAGAUUGUACAACUCUCGCUGAGGUACUUGUUCGGCUAGGAUUUUGGGUACCAGACGUCCUGAAAAGCAAAGAAUAGCUACAAUUGAUUACCAUGAGAGCAUUAUUUAUGUCGCAUCUUGAUAGAGCCAUCAACCACACACUGCUUGAACAAGUUGAAGCAUAUGAGAAAACGGUACUUAUUAAUAUGUGGCAGAAUGUCGAGCAUGGUACAGGAGAACAUCAUAAAACGAAAAUGGCUCCCGCGGAUGGCCCAUUGCUAGGAGGUAGAGUGCAUCAACAAAAAAAAAGGAAAUUUCCUUCUUGAUUGAUAAUCAUGUCGGCUUAACCAUAGAGGACUAUGAUGAGUUUCCUCCUUGAUUGUUUCUGUUGUUCUCUAUUCGUUCUAUAUCCGGCUAUGAAUUUUUCUUUCGUAUGCA